CCUACGGGAGGCAGCAGUGAGGAAUAUUGGUCAAUGGACGGAAGUCUGAACCAGCCAUGCCGCGUGCAGGAAGACGGCUCUAUGAGUUGUAAACUGCUUUUGUACAAGGGUAAACCUGAAUACGUGUAUUCGGCUGAAAGUACUGUACGAUUAAGGAUCGGCUAACUCCGUGCCAGCAGCCGCGGUAAUACGGAGGAUCCAAGCGUUAUCCGGAUUUAUUGGGUUUAAAGGGUGCGUAGGCGGAUUGAUAAGUUAGAGGUGAAAUGUCCGAGCUUAACUCGGGAACUGCCUCUAAUACUGUUGAUCUAGAGAGUAGAUGCGGUAGGCGGAAUGUAUGGUGUAGCGGUGAAAUGCUUAGAGAUCAUACAGAACACCGAUUGCGAAGGCAGCUUACCAAUCUAUAUCUGACGUUGAGGCACGAAAGCGUGGGGAGCAAACAGGAUUAGAUACCCCUGUAGUC
Molecule: ribosomal RNA, 460 nt
Filed under: uncultured bacterium
Lineage: Bacteria
Description: partial 16S ribosomal RNA
Rfam family: Bacterial small subunit ribosomal RNA
Source: RNAcentral